GACGAACGCUGGCGGCGGGCUUAACACAUGCAAGUCGAACGGUUGAGCGCCUUCCUUUUUGGGGUGUGUGGAUGGAUGGCGAACGGGUGAGUAACACGUGGGUAACCUGCCCCCUUCUUCGGGAUAACCGCGUGACUGUUUGGCCAUACCUGGAUAGUCUGGGUCUGUCGCAUGUUGGGUCUGGGAGCGAUCAUGUUACGGUGGGGGGGGGGCGGGCGGCCUAUCGGUUUGGUGGUGGGGAGGUGGCCUACCGAGGCGGUUCGGGGUCGCUGGGCUGUGAGGGUGGACGGUCACACUGGGACUGAGACGCGGCCCAGACUCCUACGGGAGGCAGCAGGGGGGAAUAUUGCACAGUGGGAGCAAGGCUGAUGCCGCGACGCCGCGUGAGAGAUGGAGGUCGGCGUGUUGUGAACCUCUUUCGCCAGUGAAGCACGGUAGGCUAGUUUGUGGCUGGGUUGACGGUAGCUGGAGAAGAAGCGCCGGCUAACUACGUG
This 494-nucleotide ribosomal RNA is filed under the name uncultured bacterium. RNAcentral's name for it is "partial 16S ribosomal RNA". It matches the Rfam family "Bacterial small subunit ribosomal RNA", at positions 28 to 507 of the family's 1533-position model. The record is from RNAcentral.